RNAcentral lists this long non-coding RNA (421 nucleotides) under Homo sapiens (human). RNAcentral's name for it is "novel transcript". Lineage: Eukaryota; Metazoa; Chordata; Mammalia; Primates; Hominidae. The record is from RNAcentral.
AUAAAUGGCGGAGACUUUUCCCUAAAUGGGUUACUUGAUUUAAGAGCUGCUGGCUAAUUUUGGUCGGAUAAUUUAAUAGAAGAGGGAAGAGGAAAGGAAAGAAAGGGGCUUGAAGAAAGAGGAAGAGAAAAGAAACACAAGGAUGGAGAACAAGGAGAGACCAUUUGUUCUCAAACAGUAGCUGCCACUUCUAGCUGGGAGAGAAAUGAGAGCUCUGCUCAUGGUGAUCCAGUAUCUCCAGAAUCCAUCACCACUGCUGACCUCCCACUCCAUGUCUCCAAGUGCUCUGCUAUACCUGCCACCAGCAGCUGCCACCUCCAGACUUUGGAAGGUUAUAAUAAAACCUCUGUUCUACGAUCUGCCUUCUGCUUCAACAUCCUCACUCCCCACAAACAAUUCUAAUAAACAGCAAUUAAUCUGA